This 308-nucleotide long non-coding RNA is filed under the name Lathyrus oleraceus (garden pea). RNAcentral describes it as "Pisum sativum (pea) long non-coding RNA (PSAT_LNC027478)". Lineage: Eukaryota; Viridiplantae; Streptophyta; Magnoliopsida; Fabales; Fabaceae. The record is from RNAcentral.
GUGUCCUGUAUUUGCUGAAUCAGAUAGGAUGGGAGACCUCCCCUAUCCUGAGACAUUUCACCACCUACCGGAGACUCACACUAGAAUUCCUUAGCUCAUUAAUCUAUCUACCCAGCCAUGGAAAAGGAAUUAGCAGAGGUUUUAUCCAGUUCAGAAUGUUCAAUAUGGAGUACCAAUUUAAUAUUAGAGACUUUACCAACCUUUUGGGUUUUCCUACCUCCUUUGAUACAUUCACUGUAAGCCAGGAAGAACUUUUUGAAUAUAGAGAGCUUGAACACUUUUGGGGUAAGCUGACUGGAAAUGAUGAG